UCCCCCGGUUACCUUGUCCGGGCUUUCGGCUCGACUCUCCCACCCUUUGUGAACGUACCUCUGUUGCUUUGGCGGCUCCGGCCGCCAAAGGACCUCCAAACUCCAGUCAGUAAACGCAGACGUCUGAUAAACAAGUUAAUAAACUAAAACUUUCAACAACGGAUCUCUUGGUUCUGGCAUCGAUGAAGAACGCAGCGAAAUGCGAUAAGUAAUGUGAAUUGCAGAAUUCAGUGAAUCAUCGAAUCUUUGAACGCACAUUGCGCCCCUUGGUAUUCCGGGGGGCAUGCCUGUUCGAGCGUCAUUACAACCCUCAAGCUCUGCUUGGAAUUGGGCACCGUCCUCACUGCGGACGCGCCUCAAAGACCUCGGCGGUGGCUGUUCAGCCCUCAAGCGUAGUAGAAUACACCUCGCUUUGGAGUGGUUGGCGUCGCCCGCCGGACGAACCUUCUGAACUUUUCUCAAGGUUGACCUCGGAUCAGGUAGGGAUACCCGCUGAACUUAAGCAUAUCAAUAAGCGGAGGAAGAUCAUUCCGAGUUUUCGGGCUUCGGAUCGACUCUACACCUUUGGUGAACUUCCUCUUUUGUUUUGGGGGCUCCGGCACC
This 603-nucleotide ribosomal RNA is filed under the name Lasiodiplodia pseudotheobromae. RNAcentral describes it as "eukaryotic LSU rRNA". The stretch from base 148 to 301 matches the Rfam family "5.8S ribosomal RNA". Lineage: Eukaryota; Fungi; Ascomycota; Dothideomycetes; Botryosphaeriales; Botryosphaeriaceae. The record is from RNAcentral.